This 3435-nucleotide long non-coding RNA is filed under the name Homo sapiens (human). RNAcentral describes it as "HSALNT0249270". The record is from RNAcentral. Lineage: Eukaryota; Metazoa; Chordata; Mammalia; Primates; Hominidae.
UUUGUCUCAAGAUGAAGGAGGACACAUUGCAGGAAUUGGUGAUCCUGUCUUCUCUUGGCAGAUUGACUACCUGGGAUCUUCCUUACUUCCUUAAGGUUAUCAAUGAUGCCUCAGUACUUUUGACACUUUUUCAGGUUAUGGUACUGUGGUCCAGUCCAUAACACUUGGGCCAUUAAAACUAAUCUGUGCCAUGUUUUUUGCUUUUUGAACCUUCUACGAUCUGACAGUGAUGUCCUUUUUGUCACAAACGUUAUCAGUGAUGGGACAAUGACCAAAGUAUUGGAUGGACAUUCCAUGCCCCCUACUAUUUAUAAAUUUUGGGUAUUGUUGAGCUUGGGAAGACUUCUGACUUUACUUCCCUCACCUCCUCCUGAUCCACACACCUCAGUAAGAGUGUGAAUAAGGUUGUGCCCAGAAAGGGAUUUUAUCAUUUCAACAACUUUCCAGGUAAUGAUCAGGAAAAAAAUUAUACAUAUGAAUAUAAGAUAAUUGGAGAAAAGAUAAAGUUGUAAUUACUCCGGGAUUGGAUGCAUUAAUUUUAUGGUAGUAGAAGGAGAGAAAAAAAACCCGGCAACCAGGGAGGGAACUUAGAUCCCAGAGGUAUACGGGAAAAGAAAUGAUUAAACCCACUCUAUCUUCUAGAUCCAGCACUGCUUCCUGAGUCAAGCCACAGCUUCAUCUGACAAUCUAAACUGAGGCUGAGUUUGUCAUCUCUGUUGACAUGCUAUAAAAAUGAAAUAAAACUCAGGCGAACAUGACAGGCCUUGACCUAUUCUGCUGUGCCUGAUGCCAUCAACAGUAGCUUCCAAACACAACAUUUACAAACACAACCUGUUUCAAUCUGACUGAUUAUGUGAUUCUCCUGAUGCUGAGUGGCCUUAAGUUGUGCCACGUGUGAUUAUCAAGGCUACAGUUACUCAGUGAAGAUACACAUGGGGCUUAACCAAACCAAUGUAAUGGUGAUCCAAAUCAGCUUUAACAACAAAUCCUCAAGAGAGUGACUGAAUAAUGACUUCAGGUCAUAUGUUUGUGUGUGCAUAGAUUGGGCUGUGAAAUUGGGGAUGAAGAUUGCUUUUUGGCCUUUUGUCCCCUGUAAUUAUUGGAAGACUCAUAGCAUCCCUUUCAUCACACUAUUUUGAUUAAGACAGUUACACAGGUCCCUCCAGAUUUGAGGAUCAAUGUCACUGUAAGUAUAUGGGUCAUGGGGGUCUAUAAUCAAAAACUAAAAAAAAAAUACAUGUUGGCAUGGAUGUGGUGAACAAGGAACACUUCUACACUGCUGGUGGGAAUGUAAACUAGUACAACCACUAUGGAGAUUCCUUAAAGAACUAAAAGUGGAACUACCAUUUGAUCCAGCAAUCCCACUACUGGGUAUCUACCCAGAGGAAAAGAAGUCAUUAUACAAAAAAGAUACUUGCACAUGCAUGUUUAUAGCAACGCAAUUCACAAUUCACAAUUGUGUUGUGCAAAAAUGUGGAACCAACCAAAUGCCUAUCAGUCAAUGAGUGGAUUAAGAAACUGUGGCAUACUACUCAGUCAUACUACUCAGUCAUAAAAAGGAAUGAAUUAAUGGCAUUUGCAGUGACCUAGAUGAGAUUGGAGACUAUUCUUCUAAGUGAAUUAACUCAGGAAUUGAACCAAACAUAUGUUUUCACUCAUAAGUGGGAGCUAAGCUAUGAGGAUGCAAAGGCACAAGAAUGACACAAUGGACUUUAGGGUCUUGGGGAAGGAGUGGGAGGAGGGUGAAGGAUAAAAGACUACAAAUUGGGUGCAGUGUAUACUGCUUGGGUGAUGGGUGCACCAAAAUCUCACAAAUCACCACUAAAGGACUUACUCAUGCAGCCAAACACCACUUGUUCCCCAACAACAUAUGGAAAUAAAAAAUUAAAAAGAAAAGAAGUACAUGGGGUCAGGUCAUGCCUGUAAUCUCAGCAGUUCGGGAGACUAAGGUGGGCAGAUUGCUUGAGCCCAGGAGUUCAGGGCUUGCCUAGACAACAUGUUGAAACCCAUCUCUACAAAAAAUACAAAAAUUAACUGGGUGUGGUGGCAUGUGUUUGUAGUCCCAGCUACUUGGGAGGCUGAGGUGGGAGGAUUAAUUGAGCCUUUGAGGUUGAGGCUGCAGUGAGCCAUGAUUGUGCCACUGCACUCCAGCCUGGGCAACAGAGUGAGACCCUGUCUAAAAAAAAUGAAGUACAUGAGGAAUAAAAUAUAUAUUGAUGCAGCCAUCUUUAGAAGAUAUAAUCUGCCACAUUUCAUUAUGACAGUAUUUUUCACAUCUAUUGAAAUUGCCUUCAAUGAUUCCUCCACAUCCAACUAUAAUGAAUCUGCUUAUUUCAAAUCUAAUUGUAUUCAAAUAUUGUUGUGCUAUUUAUUCAUGUCUCUUAAAUUGCUUUAUUAUUGUAAUCAUCCUUGGCAUUGUGUGAACAAAAUAUUUUCCUCAUUAAAAUUACACCCCUUGGAAAGUACACUCUAUAUGAGGAGGAUUUUGUUUUGUUCUUUGCUAUAAACUCAGAGUCUAGAACAGUGCCUGACAUAUACUAGAUAAUAAAUGCUUGUUGAGUGAAUAAAAGCAAAAGGUUAUGCCAGCUUUCCUCAAGCAGUCAGCAGGUAAAGUCCAUAAUCUGAGAGCCCAAAUUUGGGGUGAGUAGAAAGGUCGAAGAAUAGGUCAAAGAAACCAAGAAGAGUCAAGUAAGAAAUUAUCGAAGUUCAAGUGGUGUAUCCAUUGUUAUCGAGUUUUGGAACAUUUAAACUCAGCAGAAAAGGGUCUGUCUCACCAGGGACUAUUUUAUUAGCCUCUUCAUGUAUGCAGCAGUUUUAUUUACUUGGUCUUGGAAUUUGUAAAGGACUAUUUGGGAUCUAACUAUGGUACAUUGGACAGUGAGAUUCUUAUUCAUUCACUAGCACUUUCAUCUAUAUGAUCAUUUGUAAUUAUUCUACAAAACCCACAGACAGAAAUUAAUAGUCUCAUUAUAAAUUAUUUACUUGUCCCAGGUCACUGGAUUUUAAGUGGCCCUAAUUUGAUUCAAACUUAUUUAUUGCUUUUUCCUCUUUAGCUCAAUCGUCUUGACCAAUUUUCCAGUUAUCUAUUCUGAUUUAGUGCAGUUGGAAAAGACAAAGACAAAAUGUAUUUUCAUCCUGUGCUAAGUUACUGGUGGGACAGGCAACUGUCCAUGCAAGAGUGACUUUAGUUGCAUUAGGAUGUUUAACUACAAAUACUUCUCCCAUCAAGUUACUGAUUAUAAUAAUAGUUGUAAUUGUUACAGUUUUAGUAGUAGCUAGCAUUUAUUUAAAUGUAUUUAGUUGUGGUAGUGCUAAGCUGUUUCCUAAAUGUUUCAUUUGAACUUAUAGUUUGUCAACAUAAAACAGUGUAUUUCAUAUCUUUCAUUCAAUAAUUGUAGUUAACAUUUAAAGUGUAACUGCAAAAGUAAUAAAUUC